RNAcentral lists this ribosomal RNA (648 nucleotides) under uncultured Bacilli bacterium. Its description in RNAcentral is "bacterial SSU rRNA". It matches the Rfam family "Bacterial small subunit ribosomal RNA", at positions 75 to 702 of the family's 1533-position model. Lineage: Bacteria; Bacillati; Bacillota; Bacilli. The record is from RNAcentral.
GGAGCUUGCUCCACCGGAAAAAGAGGAGUGGCGAACGGGUGAGUAACACGUGGGUAACCUGCCCAUCAGAAGGGGAUAACACUUGGAAACAGGUGCUAAUACCGUAUAACAAUCGAAACCGCAUGGUUUUGAUUUGAAAGGCGCUUUCGGGUGUCGCUGAUGGAUGGACCCGCGGUGCAUUAGCUAGUUGGUGAGGUAACGGCUCACCAAGGCCACGAUGCAUAGCCGACCUGAGAGGGUGAUCGGCCACAUUGGGACUGAGACACGGCCCAAACUCCUACGGGAGGCAGCAGUAGGGAAUCUUCGGCAAUGGACGAAAGUCUGACCGAGCAACGCCGCGUGAGUGAAGAAGGUUUUCGGAUCGUAAAACUCUGUUGUUAGAGAAGAACAAGGAUGAGAGUAACUGUUCAUCCCUUGACGGUAUCUAACCAGAAAGCCACGGCUAACUACGUGCCAGCAGCCGCGGUAAUACGUAGGUGGCAAGCGUUGUCCGGAUUUAUUGGGCGUAAAGCGAGCGCAGGCGGUUUCUUAAGUCUGAUGUGAAAGCCCCCGGCUCAACCGGGGAGGGUCAUUGGAAACUGGGAGACUUGAGUGCAGAAGAGGAGAGUGGAAUUCCAUGUGUAGCGGUGAAAUGCGUAGAUAUAUGGA